UCUGGUUGAUCCUGCCAGUAGCAUAUGCUUGCCUCAAAGAUUAAGCCAUGCAUGUCUAAGUAUAAAUAGUAUACAGUGAAACUGCGAAUGGCUCAUUAAAACAGUUAUAGUUUAUUUGAUAGUGGAAGCCUACAUGGAUAACCGUAGUAAUUCUAGAGCUAAUACAUGCGUGCAAACCUGACUGAAUUGAAAGGUUGUAUUUAUUAGAUACGAAGCCAAUAUUCCCUCGGGACUAUUGUGGUGAGUCAUAGUAACUGAUCGAAUCUCCGAAAUGGAGAUAAAUCAUUCAAGUUUCUGCUCUAUCAGCUUUCGAUGGUAGUGUAUUGGACUACCAUGGCAGUCACGGGUAACGGAGAAUUAGGGUUCGAUUCCGGAGAGGGAGCCUGAGAAACGGCUACCACAUCUAAGGAAGGCAGCAGGCGCGUAAAUUACCCAAUCCUGACUCAGGGAGGUAGUGACAAGAAAUAACAACCCGGGGGGCUCGCGCCCUUACGGGAUUGCAAUGAGAACAAUUUAAAUCACUUAACGAGGAUCAAUUGGAGGGCAAGUCUGGUGCCAGCAGCCGCGGUAAUUCCAGCUCCAAUAGUGUAUAUUAAAGUUGUUGCAGUUAAAAAGCUCGUAGUUGAACUUCUGGCCGUGCACAGUUUGGCGCUUGCGCCGGCUGUGUGCUGCCAUCCGUCUGCAAACUCUACACAACCUUGAGUGGCUUGGUGGGGGGAGUAGACAUUUUACUUUGAAAAAAAUUAGAGUGUUUCAAGCAGGUUAUUGCCAGAAUACUUUAGCAUGGAAUAAUGGAAUAGGACUCUGUCCAUUUGGUUGGUUAUUGGACCAGAGUAAUGAUUAACAGGGACAGUUGGGGGCAUUAGUAUUUAAUUGUCAGAGGUGAAAUUCAUGGAUUUAUUAAAGACUAACUUAUGCGAAAGCAUUUGCCAAGGAUGUUUUCAUUAAUCAAGAACGAAAGUUAGGGGAUCAAAGACGAUCAGAUACCGUCCUAGUCUUAACUAUAAACGAUGUCGACUCGGGAUUGGAAAGGUAUAUGUAUCCUUUCCAGCACCGUAUGAGAAAUCAUUAAGUCUUUGGAUUCUGGGGGGAGUAUGGUCGCAAGGCUGAAACUUAAAGGAAUUGACGGAAGAGCACCACCAGGCGUGGGACCUGCGGCUUAAUUUGACCCAACACGGGAAAACUUAUUUCAGCAAAACAUGAGUGGGAUUGACAGAUUGAGAGCUCUUUCUUGAUUUUAUGGGUGUGGUGCAUGGCCGUUCUUAGUUGGUGGAGUGAUUUGUCUGGUUAAUUCCGUUAACGAACGAGACCUUAACCUGCUAACUAGUCAGCGUGUUAAACUACGCGUUGU
Molecule: ribosomal RNA, 1351 nt
Filed under: metagenome
Description: SSU rRNA
Rfam family: Eukaryotic small subunit ribosomal RNA
Source: RNAcentral